RNAcentral lists this long non-coding RNA (1472 nucleotides) under Homo sapiens (human). RNAcentral describes it as "HSALNT0320247". Lineage: Eukaryota; Metazoa; Chordata; Mammalia; Primates; Hominidae. The record is from RNAcentral.
GACAGGAAACUCAAGCUUUGGGAUGCUGGGGAAAUUCCCUGAACUCAUGGGGCAGUGUGGAAAGAAGAGGCAGGUCAUUCUAGGUUUCUUGAAUGACUUUAUGAAUCUCUGGACUUCAACCAGCUUUGGAAGCCAAGAUAACAUGAUAACAAGAGACCCUUGUCUCUUGCCACUUGAAGUCAGUGGCCUGAAAGGACCACUGAAUUUUGUUAACUCCCCUACAGAUCACCUACUUUGAAAAUCCAUGCUUUUUCCAUUCAUUCUCUUCUCCAGAGGAAAUUGCUGUUCUGAUUUUUAGUUUUGCCUACUCUUGAACUUUUUAAAAACGGAAUCAUCCAAUGUGUACUCUUUUAUGCCUGGCUUUUUUUUGCUCAACUUAAUGUCUGUGAGAUUCACACAUGUUAUUGUGAAUAUUAGUAGUAUACUUUGUAUUCAAUUAAAUAUUCAUUGAAUAAUUCAAAUUAAGCAUUCAAUUGUAGAAAUAUAUGCAGGUUUAUUUAUUCAUUCAUCUGUUGUUGGACAGUUGGGUCAUUUUCAAUAGUUUGACUAUUAUGAAGUGGCUGUAAACAUUAUUAUAUAAGUCUUUUUGCACAUCAUAGGAAAAGAUUGCCAUAAAAUUAUUGUCACUCUUCCUAUUGAGAUGUGGCACCUAUGUUUCAUACCCGUGAAUCUGAACUGGCCCUGUGGCUGGUUUUGAUCAAUAUAAUUUGGCAGAACUGAUGCUGUGUAACUUGUGCAAGGAUAUCUACAGCUUCCACCUUGGUCUUUUGGAAUGAUUCUUCUUGGAACCCAACCCCUGUGCUUUGAGAAGCCUGAGCUAUGUGUAGAGGCCGUAUGGAAGAGAACCAAGGCACUCCAGCUGAUGGGCCUCACUGGGCUCCCAGCUGAGAGCCAGCACCAACCUGCAACCGUGUAAGCAAUCGUCUUGUACUUUCCAACCUAGUCAAAUUUCAGAUGUCUGCAACUCCAGCCACAUGGAGCAAAAGAUUCACAGAGAUGAGUCCAGUCCCCUAUCAACCCAGAUAAUCCUGAGACAAUAAAUAGCUAUUGUUUUAACCCACUAAGUUUUGAGAUAAUUUUUUACACAGAAACAAUCAAAUUAUUUAUUUUCACUUCUUCAGGAUAAGUAUUAGGAAUAGAACUGCUGGACCAUAUAAUACGUGUGUAUUAAUCUUUAUAGAAAAUUACCAAAUUAUUACCAGAGGUAGUUUUACCUUUUCAUACUCCUACUAGCAAAGUAAGAGUGCCCUGGUUUCUCCAUAUCCUCGUCAUAACUGUUUUUAAAUUUUUAGCUACUGGCAGUUAUUCAUGCUAUCCCAUUGGGUUUUUAAUUUUUAUUUCAUGAUUACUAAUAAUGUUGAAAACUUUUCCUUGUGUUUAAUUAUCAUUUGUAAAUUUUCCUUUGUGAAAUCUAUUUACAAAUCUUUUGUCUAUUUUGUUGUAAAUUGAGUUUUUGCCAUUUUAUAUUUGUC